Molecule: long non-coding RNA, 290 nt
Filed under: Homo sapiens (human)
Lineage: Eukaryota; Metazoa; Chordata; Mammalia; Primates; Hominidae
Description: HSALNT0058112
Source: RNAcentral
UGUUUCAGCUGCCUAAACAGAACCUGAAUGUUGCAGAUAAAAUGAAGAAAAUAGUCACAUAUUCAGGAAGGGAUAUAAAGGUUAGUACCUGUGAAUAUCUUCCGUGGAGGCCAAAGGGAAAUCAAUAAGAAACUUCCAAGGCAAGAUAAAGAAGAUAUUACAUUCUGUCUCAGUGGAUUCUUCAUUCUUAAUCAUGUAUUUGAGAAAGAUGAUACUCAAUCAAUGUGUAAUGAGCCACAAGACUAUAUUUUUUCUGCUUCCUUUACUAGCAGAUGAUCUUUGAUUUUUCA